RNAcentral lists this ribosomal RNA (385 nucleotides) under uncultured bacterium. RNAcentral's name for it is "bacterial SSU rRNA". It matches the Rfam family "Bacterial small subunit ribosomal RNA", at positions 29 to 416 of the family's 1533-position model. The record is from RNAcentral.
AUUGAACGCUGGCGGCAUGCCUUACACAUGCAAGUCGAACGGCAGCACGGGAGCAAUCCUGGUGGCGAGUGGCGAACGGGUGAGUAAUACAUCGGAACGUACCCAGUUGUGGGGGAUAGCUCGGCGAAAGCCGGAUUAAUACCGCAUACGACCUGAGGGUGAAAGCGGGGGAUCGCAAGACCUCGCGCAGUUGGAGCGGCCGAUGUCAGAUUAGCUAGNGGUGGGGUAAAAGCCUACCAAGGCGACGAUCUGUAGCUGGUCUGAGAGGACGACCAGCCACACUGGGACUGAGACACGGCCCAGACUCCUACGGGAGGCAGCAGUGGGGAAUUUUGGACAAUGGGCGCAAGCCUGAUCCAGCCAUGCCGCGUGCGGGAAGAAGGCC